RNAcentral lists this ribosomal RNA (418 nucleotides) under uncultured eukaryote. RNAcentral describes it as "bacterial SSU rRNA". It matches the Rfam family "Eukaryotic small subunit ribosomal RNA", at positions 592 to 1017 of the family's 1831-position model. The record is from RNAcentral.
CAAUAGCGUAUAUUAAAGUUGUUGCAGUUAAAAGCUCGUAGUCGGAUUUCGGGUCGGGCCGAGCGGUCUGCCGAUGGGUAUGCACUGUUUGGCGCGGCCUUCUUUCCGGAGACCGCGGCUACUCUUAACUGAGCGGGCGUGGGAGACGGAUCGUUUACUUUGAAAAAUUAGAGUGCUCAAAGCAGACGAUUCGUCUGAAUAGCCGUGCAUGGAAUAAUGGAAUAGGACCUCGGUUCUAUUUUGUUGGUUUUCGGAAGUCGAGGUAAUGAUUAAGAGGGACAGACGGGGGCAUUCGUACUGGGCCGCCAGAGGUGAAAUUCUUUAACUGGCUCAUGACGAACCACUGCGAAAGCAUUUGCCAAGAAUGUUUUCAUUAAUCAAGAACGAAAGUCAGAGGGUCGAAGAUGAUUAGAUACCA